AUGAAAGUUCAUUCAGACGCUGGUUCGCAGACACAAAGUUGCUCCAGCAGUGACGAGGAGGGAUCAAACAGCCUCUGCGAUAACCAGUUUAUCGUUGUCAAGCUUGAAGAUGAAGAUCCAGAAACCGAGAUGGACCUGAGUAUAUUCGCUCCUGUCGAGUCCUCGGAGUGUGAAGAUGAGGAUGAGGAUGAGCUUUCAGACUCAUCCGGCGUGUCUAGCUGGAGAAAGAAGAGCACCAGAGAGCGAGCCUCAGAUAACCAGGAGGAUUCGGCAGCCCUUGAGAAAGUGUCUUCCAGCAGGAGUUUAAAAGGACAGCGAAAGAGCCGACGGACCUCUCUGGCUGAGCAGAGACACAAGCAGAGUCUGGACUGUAGUGCAGCAAACAGGGACAUGAAUGUAGGACUCCUGUCUGAGGAUCACACAUUUCACCGAGCUGUGCCUCCGUCUGAUUCAGCCAGAGGUCCUGCAGAGAUGUCUGGACUCGACACUGGACUCAGCCCUUUAGCUGCCAUGGAGCCUCCUGUAUUUCCAAAUGCACCAGUACAGAGCAAAUCUGUUGUUGGGGAGGAUCAGCAGAAUAUACUACUUGAGGUCCUGAACCAUUGUAGGUUUCUGCAUGCAGCAGUGCAGAGGCUUGAAGAGAAGAUUGACAGACAGAUGUCAAAUGAGUCAUCAUAUGAAAGGAGCUCAGCGAAGCUGAAGAAUGGUUCAAAGCACAAAAGAAAAAUGGAUUCUGCAUUAAAUGAACAAGUUAAUUUUGACAGCCCUAGUGAUAAAGUAUCCCACAUCUCUAAGAGAGGGGCAUCUCUGCCGGCUGAAGAAGGGCAGCUGUCCUGGUCUUUGGCCCAGCGACUCGAUCCACCAGUCCAGAGAAACCCACGCUGGAUCCCUCCCUGGAAACGAGGGCUGGACAGAGCAGACCUUCAGCAGGCUGUCAACAGCAGCCUUCAGUCGGACAAACCUCCUGGCAGUAGACGAGGGAGAGGCAGGGGCAGAGGACGCGGUUGCAGCAGCAGAUCCCAGCGUCACUCUCAAACUCCUGAUCCUGCAUCACUCAUGUCAAAGCCCAGUGGAGAUGAGAUCGUCACUGCAUCAACAGAUGAUCCACAGUUGUGCCAAAUAAUGAAGAACGGCUCUCAGGCUAACACUGGCUCAAAGCGUCAGCAGAAAAGAAAGAAAACCUUGGCUCAGGUGGACAAGGAGAAAAUUGAACUGGAGAAGAUGCCCAACAAUAAAGAGGCCACACUUGAACUUCAGGGUGACAACAAAGUAAUGAUCGGAAGCCCUUUGCGGAAAGUGUGGAUCCCGCUGUCUGUGUACAAGGAGGUGUUUAAGCAGGUGGAUCCCCAGAAGGCUGUAGUGCCUGUGCUUCACGCUCUUUUCCCCAUCAGCACUCUGUCCUGCAGUGCAGUCACAGGAAACCCUGCAAAAGGCAUCCAGCAACUCAACCCCAACAAAAUAGAAGCCCUUCGAGAGUUUCUUGCUGAGAUGUUCCCACAGUUUGAUGUCGGCGUGAGGGGUGUGUCGUGGGCACAGUGUCUUGGAGUGAUAAAUAACAUCACCAAAGACCUCAACAAAAAAGCUGAAAAAAACAUCACAUCUGCCAACAGAGGUUUGUGA
Molecule: long non-coding RNA, 1620 nt
Organism: Cyprinus carpio (common carp)
Lineage: Eukaryota; Metazoa; Chordata; Actinopteri; Cypriniformes; Cyprinidae
Source: Ensembl